This 468-nucleotide ribosomal RNA is filed under the name uncultured Micrococcineae bacterium. Its description in RNAcentral is "bacterial SSU rRNA". It matches the Rfam family "Bacterial small subunit ribosomal RNA", at positions 8 to 490 of the family's 1533-position model. The record is from RNAcentral. Lineage: Bacteria; Bacillati; Actinomycetota; Actinomycetes; Micrococcales.
AGAGUUUGAUCAUGGCUCAGGACGAACGCUGGCGGCGUGCCUAACACAUGCAAGUCGAACGGUGACCCAGAGCUUGCUCUGGUGAUCAGUGGCGAACGGGUGAGUAACACGUGGGCAAUCUGCCCUUAGCUCUGGGAUAACCUCGGGAAACUGGGGAUAAUACCGGAUACAAAUACCGAACCGCAUGGCUCGGUAUUGAAAGUUUUUCGGCUAAGGAUGAGCCCGCGGCCUAUCAGCUAGUUGGUGGGGUAAUGGCCCACCAAGGCGACGACGGGUAGCCGGCCUGAGAGGGCGACCGGCCACACUGGGACUGAGAUACGGCCCAGACUCCUACGGGAGGCAGCAGUGGGGAAUAUUGCGCAAUGGGCGAAAGCCUGACGCAGCAACGCCGCGUGAGGGAUGACGGCCUUCGGGUUGUAAACCUCUUUCAGCAGGGACGAAGCGAAAGUGACUGUACAGCAAUAGAGC